Molecule: ribosomal RNA, 1440 nt
Filed under: Campylobacter jejuni
Lineage: Bacteria; Pseudomonadati; Campylobacterota; Epsilonproteobacteria; Campylobacterales; Campylobacteraceae
Description: partial 23S ribosomal RNA
Rfam family: Bacterial large subunit ribosomal RNA
Source: RNAcentral
CUAGUCUAAGGUCAUAGGAGGUUAUACAGGCAAAUCCGUAUAACAAUACUCCGAGAACUGAAAGGCUUUUUGAAGUCUUCGGAUGGAUAGAAGAACCCCUGAUGCCGUCGAGCCAAGAAAAGUUUCUAAGUUUAGCUAAUGUUGCCCGUACCGUAAACCGACACAGGUGGGUGGGAUGAGUAUUCUAAGGCGCGUGGAAGAACUCUCUUUAAGGAACUCUGCAAAAUAGCACCGUAUCUUCGGUAUAAGGUGUGGUUCGCUUCGUACUAGGAUUUACUCCGAAAGCGAAGAAACUUACAACAAAGAGUCCCUCCCGACUGUUUACCAAAAACACAGCACUCUGCUAACUCGUAAGAGGAUGUAUAGGGUGUGACGCCUGCCCGGUGCUCGAAGGUUAAUUGAUGGGGUUAGCAUUAGCGAAGCUCUUGAUCGAAGCCCGAGUAAACGGCGGCCGUAACUAUAACGGUCCUAAGGUAGCGAAAUUCCUUGUCGGUUAAAUACCGACCUGCAUGAAUGGCGUAACGAGAUGGGAGCUGUCUCAAAGAGGGAUCCAGUGAAAUUGUAGUGGAGGUGAAAAUUCCUCCUACCCGCGGCAAGACGGAAAGACCCCGUGGACCUUUACUACAGCUUGACACUGCUACUUGGAUAAGAAUGUGCAGGAUAGGUGGGAGGCUUUGAGUAUAUGACGCCAGUUGUAUAUGAGCCAUUGUUGAGAUACCACUCUUUCUUAUUUGGGUAGCUAACCAGCUUGAGUUAUCCUCAAGUGGGACAAUGUCUGGUGGGUAGUUUGACUGGGGCGGUCGCCUCCCAAAUAAUAACGGAGGCUUACAAAGGUUGGCUCAGAACGGUUGGAAAUCGUUCGUAGAGUAUAAAGGUAUAAGCCAGCUUAACUGCAAGACAUACAAGUCAAGCAGAGACGAAAGUCGGUCUUAGUGAUCCGGUGGUUCUGUGUGGAAGGGCCAUCGCUCAAAGGAUAAAAGGUACCCCGGGGAUAACAGGCUGAUCUCCCCCAAGAGCUCACAUCGACGGGGAGGUUUGGCACCUCGAUGUCGGCUCAUCGCAUCCUGGGGCUGGAGCAGGUCCCAAGGGUAUGGCUGUUCGCCAUUUAAAGCGGUACGCGAGCUGGGUUCAGAACGUCGUGAGACAGUUCGGUCCCUAUCUGCCGUGGGCGUAAGAAGAUUGAAGAGAUUUGACCCUAGUACGAGAGGACCGGGUUGAACAAACCACUGGUGUAGCUGUUGUUCUGCCAAGAGCAUCGCAGCGUAGCUAAGUUUGGAAAGGAUAAACGCUGAAAGCAUCUAAGCGUGAAGCCAACUCUAAGAUGAAUCUUCUCUAAGCUCUCUAGAAGACUACUAGUUUGAUAGGCUGGGUGUGUAAUGGAUGAAAGUCCUUUAGCUGACCAGUACUAAUAGAGCGUUUGGCUUAUCUUUAAUAAAGCAU